Molecule: small nuclear RNA, 104 nt
Organism: Capra hircus (goat)
Lineage: Eukaryota; Metazoa; Chordata; Mammalia; Artiodactyla; Bovidae
Source: Ensembl
GUGUUUGCUUUGGCAGCACAUAUACUAAAAUUAGAAUGAUACAGAGAUUAACUUGGCCCUCGUCCAAGAAUGACAUGCAAAUUUGUGAAGUGUUCCCAAUUUUU